This 440-nucleotide ribosomal RNA is filed under the name uncultured bacterium. Its description in RNAcentral is "partial 16S ribosomal RNA". It matches the Rfam family "Bacterial small subunit ribosomal RNA", at positions 338 to 795 of the family's 1533-position model. The record is from RNAcentral.
CCUACGGGUGGCAGCAGUAGGGAAUAUUGCUCAAUGGGGGAAACCCUGAAGCAGCAACGCCGCGUGGAGGAUGAAGGUUUUCGGAUUGUAAACUCCUUUUGUUAGAGAAGAUAAUUACGGUAUCUAACGAAUAAGCACCGGCUAACUCCGUGCCAGCAGCCGCGGUAAUACGGAGGGUGCAAGCGUUACUCGGAAUCACUGGGCGUUAAGAGCGCGUAGGCGGGGUAGCAAGUCAGAUGUGAAAUCCUAUGGCUUAACCAUAGAACUGCAUUUGAAACUGUUAUUCUUGAGUAUGGGAGAGGUAGGUGGAAUUCGUGGUGUAGGGGUAAAAUGCGUAGAGAUCAAGAGGAAUACUCAUUGCGAAGGCGACCUGCUAGAACGUAACUGACGCUGAUGCGCGAAAGCGUGGGGAGCAAACAGGAUUAGAUACCCGGGUAGUC